CCUACGGGGGGCUGCAGUGGGGAAUAUUGGACAAUGGGGGGAACCCUGAUCCAGCCAUGCCGCGUGUGUGAAGAAGGCCCUCGGGUUGUAAAGCACUUUCAGUGAGGAAGAACGCCUGGUGGUUAAUACCCAUCAGGAAAGACAUCACUCACAGAAGAAGCACCGGCUAACUCCGUGCCAGCAGCCGCGGUAAUACGGAGGGUGCGAGCGUUAAUCGGAAUUACUGGGCGUAAAGCGCGCGUAGGUGGCUUGAUAAGCCGGUUGUGAAAGCCCCGGGCUCAACCUGGGAACGGCAUCCGGAACUGUCAAGCUAGAGUGGAGGAGAGGAAGGUAGAAUUCCCGGUGUAGCGGUGAAAUGCGUAGAGAUCGGGAGGAAUACCAGUGGCGAAGGCGGCCUUCGGGACUGACACUGACACUGAGGUGCGAAAGCGUGGGUAGCAAACAGGAUUAAUACCCCUGUAGUC
Molecule: ribosomal RNA, 464 nt
Filed under: Vreelandella stevensii
Lineage: Bacteria; Pseudomonadati; Pseudomonadota; Gammaproteobacteria; Oceanospirillales; Halomonadaceae
Description: partial 16S ribosomal RNA
Rfam family: Bacterial small subunit ribosomal RNA
Source: RNAcentral